CAACAUUAGGCAUAUAAAUCCUACCUGUCUUCACACACUUACACACUAAAACUCCCACAGAAAGGGGGAAAAUUAGAAAAGGGGUGAUAUAAUUUGACUCUGUGUCACCACCCAAAUCUCAUCUUGAAUUGUAAUCCCCGUAAUUUCUCACCUGGCAAGAGUGGGACCAGGUGGAGACAAUUGGAUCAUGGGGGCAGUUUUCCCCAUGCUCUUCUCGUGAUAAUGAUUGAGUCUCAUGGGAUCUGAUGAUUCUAUAAGUGUCUGGCUUUUCUCCUACUUGCACUCACUCCAUCCUGCCACCCUGCGAGGAAGGUGCCUGCUUCUUCUUUGCCUUCCGCCGUGAGUGUGAGUCUCCUGAGGCCUCCCCAGCAAUGUGGAACUGAUACGUCAUGGAACAGAGGGCAACCUGCCUCCUGGAAAUGUGGAGUGUCUAGGGAGUCACAGCUGAGAUCUUCCUUGGAUUAAAGGCUGCGGGUGUCACAAACAGAUUCAACUGGGUGAAAUAACUGUGAACUGGGCAUGUGAAGAGAAAGCUGAAAGCCAUGAUCUCAAGAUGGAAACUUCAGUAUCCAGCAAAGAAUGAUACGGUUUGGCUGUGUCCCCACCUAAAUCUCACCUUGAGUUCCUAUGUGCUGUGAAAGGGACCUGAUGGGAGGGGGAAUUUUCCUGCACAAGCUCUCUUUGCCUGCUGCCACCCAUGUAAGACGUGACUUGCUGCUCAUUGCCUUCUGCCGUGAUUGUGAAGCUUCCCCAGCAACGUGGAACAGUAAGUCCAAUAAACUUCUUUCUUUUGUAAAUUGCCCAGUCUCUGGUAUGUCUUUAUUAGCAGUGUGAAAACGGACUAAUACACAGAAUAAAAGUAACUUCAACAUGUUUCAUUUUCUCUUGGAAAAGUGCUAUGCUUAAAAAGAUUGUUGCCAAAUUUAUCUUUCAAAAUACAAGUCAGAUGUUUUAAUUACUGUCUUCAGAUGAUUUCAGUGAGUCCUCAAUAUUAAAAUAAUAAAGCAAAACUUCUUUAAAUCUUUCAAG
This 1029-nucleotide long non-coding RNA is filed under the name Homo sapiens (human). Its description in RNAcentral is "HSALNT0300675". Lineage: Eukaryota; Metazoa; Chordata; Mammalia; Primates; Hominidae. The record is from RNAcentral.